This 1033-nucleotide ribosomal RNA is filed under the name uncultured Acidobacteriota bacterium. RNAcentral describes it as "bacterial SSU rRNA". It matches the Rfam family "Bacterial small subunit ribosomal RNA", at positions 351 to 1387 of the family's 1533-position model. Lineage: Bacteria; Pseudomonadati; Acidobacteriota. The record is from RNAcentral.
GCAGUGGGGAAUCUUGCACAAUGGGCGAAAGCCUGAUGCAGCGACGCCGCGUGGGGGAUGAAGCAUUUCGGUGUGUAAACCCCUUUCGACCCGGACGAAUGCCUCGCAAGAGGAGUGACGGUACGGGUAUAAGAAGCCCCGGCUAACUACGUGCCAGCAGCCGCGGUAAGACGUAGGGGGCCAGCGUUGUUCGGAAUUACUGGGUGUAAAGGGUCAGUAGGCGGUGUGGCAAGUUGGGAGUGAAAUCUAUGGGCUCAACCCAUAGGCUGCUUCCAAAACUGCUGUGCUAGAGUGUGGGAGAGGCGCGUGGAAUUGCAGGUGUAGCGGUGAAAUGCGUAGAUAUCUGCAGGAACACCCGUGGCGAAAGCGGCGCGCUGGACCACAACUGACGCUGAGUGACGAAAGCUAGGGGAGCAAACAGGAUUAGAUACCCUGGUAGUCCUAGCCCUAAACGAUCAGGACUUGGGGUGCCGCCCGUUCGGGCGUCGUCCCGGAGCUAACGCGUUAAGUCCUGCACCUGGGGAGUACGGUCGCAAGACUGAAACUCAAAGGAAUUGACGGGGGUCCGCACAAGCGGUGGAACAUGUGGUUCAAUUCGACGCUACGCGAGGAACCUUACCUGGGCUCGAAAUGCUUAUGACCAGCUGUAGAAAUACGGCCUUCCCGCAAGGGACAUGAGUAUAGGCGCUGCAUGGCUGUCGUCAGCUCGUGCCGUGAGAUGUUGGGUUAAGUCCCGCAACGAGCGCAACCCCUGCACGUAGUUGCCACUCCGCAAGGAGGGAACUCUACGUGGACUGCUCCGGAUAACGGAGAGGAAGGUGGGGAUGACGUCAAGUCCGCAUGGCCUUUAUGUCCAGGGCUACACACGUGUUACAAUGCAGGGUACAAACCGUUGCCAACCCGCGAGGGGGAGCUAAUCGGAAAAAACUCUGCUCAGUUCGGAUUGCAGUCUGCAACUCGACUGCAUGAAGCCGGAAUCGCUAGUAAUGGCGUAUCAGAUCGACGCCGUGAAUACGUUCCCGGGCCUUGUACA